CCUACGGGAGGCAGCAGUGGGGAAUAUUGCACAAUGGGCGAAAGCCUGAUGCAGCGACGCCGCGUGAGGGAUGACGGCCUUCGGGUUGUAAACCUCUUUCAGCAGGGAAGAAGCGAAAGUGACGGUACCUGCAGAAGAAGCGCCGGCUAACUACGUGCCAGCAGCCGCGGUAAUACGUAGGGCGCAAGCGUUGUCCGGAAUUAUUGGGCGUAAAGAGCUCGUAGGCGGCUUGUCACGUCGGAUGUGAAAGCCCGGGGCUUAACCCCGGGUCUGCAUUCGAUACGGGCUAGCUAGAGUGUGGUAGGGGAGAUCGGAAUUCCUGGUGUAGCGGUGAAAUGCGCAGAUAUCAGGAGGAACACCGGUGGCGAAGGCGGAUCUCUGGGCCAUUACUGACGCUGAGGAGCGAAAGCGUGGGGAGCGAACAGGAUUAGAUACCCUGGUAGUCCACGCCGUAAACGUUGGGAACUAGGUGUUGGCGACAUUCCACGUCGUCGGUGCCGCAGCUACGACACUAACGUUACCCGUCCGUCGGGAGGUACGGCCGCGAACGGACGUAAACUAACAAACGGAAAGUUAGACGGCGUGAGACGUCGCCGAACGGACGACGACGAGGGAGGUAGG
RNAcentral lists this ribosomal RNA (621 nucleotides) under uncultured bacterium. RNAcentral describes it as "bacterial SSU rRNA". The stretch from base 1 to 526 matches the Rfam family "Bacterial small subunit ribosomal RNA", at positions 338 to 873 of the family's 1533-position model. The record is from RNAcentral.